Molecule: ribosomal RNA, 208 nt
Filed under: uncultured bacterium
Lineage: Bacteria
Description: partial 16S ribosomal RNA
Rfam family: Bacterial small subunit ribosomal RNA
Source: RNAcentral
CGCGUAGGCGGUUGAGUAAAGUCAAAUGUGAAAUCCCCGGGCUUAACCUGGGAACUGCAUUCGAUACUGCUUAACUAGAGUAUGGUAGAGGGAAGUGGAAUUCCGGGUGUAGCGGUGAAAUGCGUAGAUAUCCGGAGGAACACCAGUGGCGAAGGCGACUUCCUGGGCCAAUACUGACGCUGAGGUGCGAAAGCGUGGGGAGCAAACA